This 248-nucleotide ribosomal RNA is filed under the name uncultured haloarchaeon. RNAcentral describes it as "partial 16S ribosomal RNA". It matches the Rfam family "Archaeal small subunit ribosomal RNA", at positions 1005 to 1253 of the family's 1478-position model. Lineage: Archaea; Methanobacteriati; Methanobacteriota; Halobacteria; Halobacteriales; Halobacteriaceae. The record is from RNAcentral.
GUCCUUGUUCCUUGCACAGGGGGUUUAGUCAGGCAACGAGCGAGACCCACACUCUUAAUUGCCAGCAUCGCGUUCGCGCGGAUGGGUACAUUAGGAGGACUGCCGCUGCUAAAGCGGAGGAAGGAAUGGGCAACGGUAGGUCAGUAUGCCCCGAAUGUGCUGGGCUACACGCGGGCUACAAUGGUCAGGACAAUGGGUUCCUACCUCGAAAGAGGAUGGUAAUCUCAGAAACCUGGUCGUAGUUCGGA